This 222-nucleotide ribosomal RNA is filed under the name uncultured bacterium. RNAcentral's name for it is "partial 16S ribosomal RNA". It matches the Rfam family "Bacterial small subunit ribosomal RNA", at positions 109 to 334 of the family's 1533-position model. The record is from RNAcentral.
AGUAAUGUAUGGGGAUCUGCCUGAUGGCGGGGGAUAACUACUGGAAACGGUAGCUAAUACCGCAUAACGUCGCAAGACCAAAGAGGGGGACCUUCGGGCCUCUUGCCAUCGGAUGCGCCCAGAUGGGAUUAGCUAGUAGGUGGGGUAACGGCUCACCUAGGCGACGAUCCCUAGCUGAUCUGAGAGGAUGAUCAGCCACACUGGGACUGAGACACGGUCCAG